GACGAACGCUGGCGGCGUGCUUAACACAUGCAAGUCGAGCGGUAAGGCUCCUUCGGGAGCACACGAGCGGCGAACGGGUGAGUAACACGUGAGCAAUCUGCCCUUCACACGGGGAUAACUCCGGGAAACCGGUGCUAAUACCCGAUACGACCACUUCAGGCAUCUGAUGGUGGUGGAAAGUUCCGGCGGUGAAGGAUGAGCUCGCGGCCUAUCAGCUUGUUGGUGGGGAACGGCCCACCAAGGCAACGACGGGUAGCCGGCCUGAGAGGGUGACCGGCCACACUGGGACUGAGACACGGCCCAGACUCCUACGGGAGGCAGCAGUGGGGAAUAUUGGACAAUGGGCGAAAGCCUGAUCCAGCAACGCCGCGUGAGGGAUGACGGCCU
Molecule: ribosomal RNA, 387 nt
Filed under: uncultured bacterium
Lineage: Bacteria
Description: bacterial SSU rRNA
Rfam family: Bacterial small subunit ribosomal RNA
Source: RNAcentral